This 507-nucleotide ribosomal RNA is filed under the name Pseudoluperus lecontii. RNAcentral's name for it is "partial 12S ribosomal RNA". Lineage: Eukaryota; Metazoa; Arthropoda; Insecta; Coleoptera; Chrysomelidae. The record is from RNAcentral.
AUUAGAGCUAUAAUCAAAUUAAUAAAUUAAUUAAAAUUGUUUUCAAAUCCAAAUUCAAAUUACCAAAAAUAAUAACUAUCAAAAAAUAUCUCUAUUCUAACCCAUUUUUACUUUUUUAUAAGCUGCAUCUUGAUCUGAUUAAUUUUUUAAUAAAAAAUCUUAAAUAUUUUUAAUCCUAAUAAAUACUUAAUUACGAAGAUAUAGAAGCUAAAAAAAAUACAUAAAAUCGUAGACUAUCGUUUAUAAAACAGGGUCCUCUGAAAAGACUAAAAUACCGCCAAAAUUUUUAAUUUUAAAGAAAAAGUGUUAAUAAUUUAAUAAAAAAAAAACACAUUUUAAAUAAUAGGGUAUUUAAUCCUAGUUUACURACAAAAUUUCUUAACUUCACUACCUAAAUAAAAUUUUCUAAAAAUUUAAAAUUUUCUAAAAAUUUAAAAUUUUACUCAAUAUAUUAAAAAUUAAAAUUCUCAAUCAGUAAAAUCAAUUAUUAUUAAUCRAAUUACCGCA